CCUACGGUGUGCUGCAGUGGGGAAUAUUGGACAAUGGGCGAAAGCCUGAUCCAGCCAUGCCGCGUGUGUGAAGAAGGCCUUCGGGUUGUAAAGCACUUUCAGUGGGGAAGAAAGCCUUGGGGCUAAUACCCUCGAGGAAGGACAUCACCCACAGAAGAAGCACCGGCUAACUCCGUGCCAGCAGCCGCGGUAAUACGGAGGGUGCGAGCGUUAAUCGGAAUUACUGGGCGUAAAGCGCGCGUAGGCGGUCUGAUAAGCCGGUUGUGAAAGCCCCGGGCUCAACCUGGGAACGGCAUCCGGAACUGUCAGGCUAGAGUGUAGGAGAGGAAGGUAGAAUUCCCGGUGUAGCGGUGAAAUGCGUAGAGAUCGGGAGGAAUACCAGUGGCGAAGGCGGCCUUCUGGACUGACACUGACGCUGAGGUGCGAAAGCGUGGGUAGCAAACAGGAUUAGAUACCCGAGUAGUC
This 465-nucleotide ribosomal RNA is filed under the name Vreelandella stevensii. Its description in RNAcentral is "partial 16S ribosomal RNA". It matches the Rfam family "Bacterial small subunit ribosomal RNA", at positions 338 to 795 of the family's 1533-position model. The record is from RNAcentral. Lineage: Bacteria; Pseudomonadati; Pseudomonadota; Gammaproteobacteria; Oceanospirillales; Halomonadaceae.